AGUGAACGCUGGCGGUAGGCCUAACACAUGCAAGUCGAACGGCAGCACAGUAAGAGCUUGCUCUUACGGGUGGCGAGUGGCGGACGGGUGAGGAAUACAUCGGAAUCUACUUUUUCGUGGGGGAUAACGUAGGGAAACUUCCGCUAAUACCGCAUACGACCUACGGGUGAAAGCAGGGGAUCUUCGGACCUUGCGCGAUUGAAUGAGCCGAUGUCGGAUUAGCUAGUUGGCGGGGUAAAGGCCCACCAAGGCGACGAUCCGUAGCUGGUCUGAGAGGAUGAUCAGCCACACUGGAACUGAGACACGGUCCAGACUCCUACGGGAGGCAGCAGUGGGGAAUAUUGGACAAUGGGCGCAAGCCUGAUCCAGCCAUACCGCGUGGGUGAAGAAGGCCUUCGGGUUGUAAAGCCCUCUUGUUGGGAAAGAAAAGCAGCAGGUUAAUACCCCGCUGUUCUGACGGUACCCAAAGAAUAAGCACCGGCUAACUUCGUG
This 492-nucleotide ribosomal RNA is filed under the name uncultured bacterium. RNAcentral's name for it is "partial 16S ribosomal RNA". It matches the Rfam family "Bacterial small subunit ribosomal RNA", at positions 29 to 507 of the family's 1533-position model. The record is from RNAcentral.